Long non-coding RNA from Felis catus (domestic cat), 416 nucleotides. RefSeq lists it as uncharacterized. The record is from RefSeq and is a predicted model, not a curated record. The transcript is spliced from 3 exons. Lineage: Eukaryota; Metazoa; Chordata; Mammalia; Carnivora; Felidae.
AGUGACUCACUAGCAUAGAUGCCUGAAGCAAGUGGAAUGGAUGAGCUGAAGAAGAGUCCAUGUGUCCACCAGGAGCUAUAAGGAGGAGCCAAUCCACGUGGCUGGAUCCUUUGUUCCUUGAGAACUGGAAAAUCAGGGAAAUCUCAAAAUUCUGUACCAUAUACUACGUUAAACAGGAGAAGUAAACAUUUAUUCCUGAUACAGGAAAAGCUUUCAACUUUUCACCACUGAGUAUGAUGUUAGCUGUGGGCUUGUCAGAUAUGGCAUUUCCUACAUUGAGAAAAUGAUGUUUCUGUACUUUGAUGAAGUUACAGAGAGAAGUUGAAUGUGCACAAUGUCCUAGGCACCUCGGUGAAAACGUAAGUUUUCUAAUGAAAUAUAUGGUAUAGAAUCAAUGUCCAUGGUAGAUUCCAAAG